CAAAACACUGAGGAACGAAGGGCAAACCCUAGCCGCCUUCGUUCCUCUUCUCUCUCUCAUGAUGCCAUAUGCUGGAAAUAGCAAAGUUGUGGGCCCUCAAUGCGUGGUGUUGACUCGGCAUGGCUGAGAAUGGAAAGAGCCUUUAUUGCUCUGCCAUAUCUCAACCAAAUUCGCCAUAUUCAACCCAAACAAGUCCGAUGAAAAGGAAGCUAAUAUUUGCAUUGAAGGCCCACCUAUGAGGGAAAAUAGGCAACUGGUAGGCUUAGGUAGGCCCACCAGCCUAAACUUUCCUCAUUAUUUUUCUUUAGUAUAUUCAUAUGUAUUUGCAAAAAAAAAAAAAACACUUGUAUAAUAUUGAAACUGUUGUGAAUGUUAGAACUUAGGAAAACAUUAGUAUUAUUAGGAAGUCGCCCAAAUGAUUUUCAAA
Molecule: long non-coding RNA, 427 nt
Organism: Lycium barbarum (goji berry)
Lineage: Eukaryota; Viridiplantae; Streptophyta; Magnoliopsida; Solanales; Solanaceae
Exons: 2
Source: RefSeq, a predicted model, not a curated record